This 107-nucleotide transfer RNA is filed under the name Colletotrichum somersetense. RNAcentral describes it as "tRNA-Met". It matches the Rfam family "tRNA". Rfam says of the family: Transfer RNA (tRNA) molecules are approximately 80 nucleotides in length. Their secondary structure includes four short double-helical elements and three loops (D, anti-codon, and T loops). Further hydrogen bonds mediate the characteristic L-shaped molecular structure. tRNAs have two regions of fundamental functional importance: the anti-codon, which is responsible for specific mRNA codon recognition, and the 3' end, to which the tRNAs corresponding amino acid is attached (by aminoacyl-tRNA synthetases). tRNAs cope with the degeneracy of the genetic code in two manners: having more than one tRNA (with a specific anti-codon) for a particular amino acid; and 'wobble' base-pairing, i.e. permitting non-standard base-pairing at the 3rd anti-codon position. Lineage: Eukaryota; Fungi; Ascomycota; Sordariomycetes; Glomerellales; Glomerellaceae. The record is from RNAcentral.
GUCUCUAUGGCUCAGUCGGUAGAGCGUUGGUCUCAUAUUUCAUCAAUAUGACCCUGCCUUCAGGUUGGGAUAUCCAAAGGUCGCAAGUUCGAGCCUUGCUAGGGACA